Neofelis nebulosa (Clouded leopard) is the source of this 412-nucleotide long non-coding RNA. RefSeq lists it as uncharacterized. NCBI's taxonomy places the organism in Eukaryota, Metazoa, Chordata, Mammalia, Carnivora, Felidae. The record is from RefSeq and is a predicted model, not a curated record. The transcript has 2 exons.
GAAGAGUGAGUAAACAGCUGGUGAAUUCAGUAUGAAGAAGGUCAACUUCACCACCAGUGAGCAAGCUGUAAAGACUUCAAGAAGUCCUUUACACCAUACAAUGUCCUGAAGCCUGAUGUGAUUCAAUAAUUUCCAAUGGAAUGGUGGAAAUUUCUGAAAAGAGGAUCUCGCCCCAUCUAAACUUCUCUUACCAUGGCUCUCAGGCCCCAAGUUAUUCACAAUAGAAGAAAUUUCUCAGACCUUCCCAUAGAAAAUUGCUGCUGUUCCAAACUCUGGUCCUUCUAAAAUUGGGGAUGAGGAACAAAGUCUUCAAAGAAGAAAUCACACCUUCAUUCAGUGGCCUCAGCUACACCUUCGGAGCAGCUUCUUGGUUGACUUUUAUCUUUACAAAACCAUUUUCAAUGAUCCACCC